Molecule: ribosomal RNA, 434 nt
Filed under: uncultured Oscillospiraceae bacterium
Lineage: Bacteria; Bacillati; Bacillota; Clostridia; Eubacteriales; Oscillospiraceae
Description: bacterial SSU rRNA
Rfam family: Bacterial small subunit ribosomal RNA
Source: RNAcentral
ACGGGAGGCAGCAGUGGGGAAUAUUGGACAAUGGGGGAAACCCUGAUCCAGCGACGCCGCGUGAGUGAAGAAGUAUUUCGGUAUGUAAAGCUCUUUAAGCAGGAAAGAAAAUGACGGUACCCGCAGAAUAAGCCCCGGCUAACUACGUGCCAGCAGCCGCGGUAAUACGUAGGGGGCAAGCGUUAUCCGGAUUUACUGGGUGUAAAGGGCGCGUAGGCGGGGAUGCAAGUCAGAUGUGAAAUCUAUGGGCUUAACCCAUAAACUGCAUUUGAAACUGUAUCUCUUGAGUGCUGGAGAGGUAGACGGAAUUCCUAGUGUAGCGGUGAAAUGCGUAGAUAUUAGGAAGAACACCAGUGGCGAAGGCGGUCUACUGGACAGUAACUGACGCUGAGGCGCGAAAGCGUGGGGAGCAAACAGGAUUAGAUACCCUGGUA